RNAcentral lists this ribosomal RNA (803 nucleotides) under uncultured bacterium. Its description in RNAcentral is "bacterial SSU rRNA". It matches the Rfam family "Bacterial small subunit ribosomal RNA", at positions 8 to 809 of the family's 1533-position model. The record is from RNAcentral.
AGAGUUUGAUUUUGGCUCAGGAUGAACGCUGGCGGCGUGCUUAACACAUGCAAGUCGAACGAAACACCUUAUUUGAUUUUCUUCGGAACUGAAGAUUUGGUGAUUGAGUGGCGGACGGGUGAGUAACGCGUGGGUAACCUACCCUGUACAGGGGGAUAACAGUCAGAAAUGACUGCUAAUACCGCAUAAGACCACAGCACCGCAUGGUGCAGGGGUAAAAACUCCGGUGGUACAGGAUGGACCCGCGUCUGAUUAGCUGGUUGGUGAGGUAACGGCUCACCAAGGCGACGAUCAGUAGCCGGCUUGAGAGAGUGAACGGCCACAUUGGGACUGAGACACGGCCCAAACUCCUACGGGAGGCAGCAGUGGGGAAUAUUGCACAAUGGGGGAAACCCUGAUGCAGCGACGCCGCGUGAGUGAAGAAGUAUUUCGGUAUGUAAAGCUCUAUCAGCAGGGAAGAAAAUGACGGUACCUGACUAAGAAGCCCCGGCUAACUACGUGCCAGCAGCCGCGGUAAUACGUAGGGGGCAAGCGUUAUCCGGAAUUACUGGGUGUAAAGGGUGCGUAGGUGGUAUGGCAAGUCAGAAGUGAAAACCCAGGGCUUAACUCUGGGACUGCUUUUGAAACUGUCAGACUGGAGUGCAGGAGAGGUAAGCGGAAUUCCUAGUGUAGCGGUGAAAUGCGUAGAUAUUAGGAGGAACGUCAGUGGCGAAGGCGGCUUACUGGACUGAAACUGACACUGAGGCACGAAAGCGUGGGGAGCAAACAGGAUUAGAUACCCUGGUAGUCCACGCCGUAAACGA